GCUGGGCAUGGUGGCGAACGCCUGUAGUCCCAGCUACUUGGGAGGCUGAGGUGGGAGAAUCGCUUGAGUCUGGGAGGUCAAGGCUGCAGUGAGCUGUGACUGCCACUGCACUCCAGCCUGGGCAACAGAGAGAGACCCUGUCUCAA
Molecule: unclassified non-coding RNA, 146 nt
Organism: Macaca fascicularis (crab-eating macaque)
Lineage: Eukaryota; Metazoa; Chordata; Mammalia; Primates; Cercopithecidae
Rfam family: Metazoan signal recognition particle RNA
About the family: The signal recognition particle (SRP) is a universally conserved ribonucleoprotein.
Source: Ensembl